This 174-nucleotide ribosomal RNA is filed under the name uncultured bacterium. Its description in RNAcentral is "partial 16S ribosomal RNA". It matches the Rfam family "Bacterial small subunit ribosomal RNA", at positions 1325 to 1500 of the family's 1533-position model. The record is from RNAcentral.
GCCGGAAUUGCUAGUAAUGGCAGGUCAGCAUACUGCCGUGAAUACGUUCCCGGGCCUUGUACACACCGCCCGUCACACCAUGAGAGUUGGGAAUACCCGAAGCCUGUGAGCUAACGUUAAGAGGCAGCAGUCGAAGGUAGAAUCAAUGAUUGGGUGAAGUCGUAACAAGGUAUC